UGGGGAAUAUUGCACAAUUGGCUCAAGCCUGAUGCAGCCAUGCCGCGUGUAUGAAGAAGGCCUUCGGGUUGUAAAGUACUUUCAGCGGGGAGGAAGGGAGUAAAGUUAAUACCUUUGCUCAUUGACGUUACCCGCAGAAGAAGCACCGGCUAACUCCGUGCCAGCAGCCGCGGUAAUACGGAGGGUGCAAGCGUUAAUCGGAAUUACUGGGCGUAAAGCGCACGCAGGCGGUUUGUUAAGUCAGAUGUGAAAUCCCCGGGCUCAACCUGGGAACUGCAUCUGAUACUGGCAAGCUUGAGUCUCGUAGAGGGGGGUAGAACUCCAGGUGUAGCGGUGAAAUGCGUAGAGAUCUGGAGGAAUACCGGUGGCGAAGGCGGCCCCCUGGACGAAGACUGACGCUCAGGUGCGAAAGCGUGGGGAGCAAACAGG
RNAcentral lists this ribosomal RNA (429 nucleotides) under Chloroflexota bacterium. RNAcentral describes it as "Chloroflexi bacterium partial 16S ribosomal RNA". It matches the Rfam family "Bacterial small subunit ribosomal RNA", at positions 355 to 776 of the family's 1533-position model. Lineage: Bacteria; Bacillati; Chloroflexota. The record is from RNAcentral.